UAGAAAGUGGUGUAGCGGGAGCACGAAGAUUUUUGAUGUCUUAGGUUGGGGUUCGAGGCCCCUCUUUCUAA
RNAcentral lists this transfer RNA (71 nucleotides) under Labracinus cyclophthalmus (fire-tail devil). RNAcentral describes it as "tRNA-Gln". It matches the Rfam family "tRNA". From Rfam's summary of the family: Transfer RNA (tRNA) molecules are approximately 80 nucleotides in length. Their secondary structure includes four short double-helical elements and three loops (D, anti-codon, and T loops). Further hydrogen bonds mediate the characteristic L-shaped molecular structure. tRNAs have two regions of fundamental functional importance: the anti-codon, which is responsible for specific mRNA codon recognition, and the 3' end, to which the tRNAs corresponding amino acid is attached (by aminoacyl-tRNA synthetases). tRNAs cope with the degeneracy of the genetic code in two manners: having more than one tRNA (with a specific anti-codon) for a particular amino acid; and 'wobble' base-pairing, i.e. permitting non-standard base-pairing at the 3rd anti-codon position. The record is from RNAcentral. Lineage: Eukaryota; Metazoa; Chordata; Actinopteri; Pseudochromidae.